GCGUCGGCAUCGCCUUUUGGGCAGGCGAGCAGCGCCUACGGCGCGCUGGACCCGUCGAUGUGGUUCAACGCCAUGCGCGCGCA
This 83-nucleotide transfer RNA is filed under the name Pandoraea commovens. RNAcentral describes it as "Pandoraea sp. LMG 31010 tRNA-Arg". The record is from RNAcentral. Lineage: Bacteria; Pseudomonadati; Pseudomonadota; Betaproteobacteria; Burkholderiales; Burkholderiaceae.